UAGGGAAUCUUCGGCAAUGGACGAAAGUCUGACCGAGCAACGCCGCGUGAGUGAAGAAGGUUUUCGGAUCGUAAAACUCUGUUGUUAGAGAAGAACAAGGACGUUAGUAACUGAACGUCCCCUGACGGUAUCUAACCAGAAAGCCACGGCUAACUACGUGCCAGCAGCCGCGGUAAUACGUAGGUGGCAAGCGUUGUCCGGAUUUAUUGGGCGUAAAGCGAGCGCAGGCGGUUUCUUAAGUCUGAUGUGAAAGCCCCCGGCUCAACCGGGGAGGGUCAUUAGAAACUGGGAGACUUGAGUGCAGAAGAGGAGAGUGGAAUUCCAUGUGUAGCGGUGAAAUGCGUAGAUAUAUGGGGGAACACCAGUGGCGAAGGCGGCUCUCUGGUCUGUAACUGACGCUGAGGCUCGAAAGCGUGGGGAGCAAACAGG
This 429-nucleotide ribosomal RNA is filed under the name Gemmatimonadota bacterium. Its description in RNAcentral is "Gemmatimonadetes bacterium partial 16S ribosomal RNA". It matches the Rfam family "Bacterial small subunit ribosomal RNA", at positions 355 to 776 of the family's 1533-position model. Lineage: Bacteria; Pseudomonadati; Gemmatimonadota. The record is from RNAcentral.